CAAAAACAUGUCUUUUUGAUUAUAAUUUAAAGUCUAACCUGCCCAAUGAGGAGUUAAAUGGCCGCGGUAUUUUGACCGUGCAAAGGUAGCAUAAUCAUUAGUUUUUUAAUUGAAAGCUGGUAUGAAUGGUUGGACGAGAAAAUAACUGUCUCGAUUUAAAUUAAAUUAGAAUUUUAUUUAUGAGUAAAAAAGCUCAUAUGAGUUUAAAAGACGAGAAGACCCUAUAGAAUUUAAUAUAUGUAUAUAUAUAUUAUUUUUAGGAUUAAUAAUAAGUUAUAUAUAAUUAUAUUUUGUUGGGGUGAUAGAAAAAUUAAAUUAACUUUUUUUGUAUAAAAACAUUAAUUUAUGAAAAAAUGAUCCGUUAAUUACGAUUAUAAGAUUAAAUUACCUUAGGGAUAACAGCGUAAUUUUUUUUUAGAGUUCUUAUCGAAAAAAGAGUUUGCGACCUCGAUGUUGGAUUAAAAUUAACUUUUGGUGUAGGGGCU
RNAcentral lists this ribosomal RNA (485 nucleotides) under Xylotrupes tadoana. Its description in RNAcentral is "partial large subunit ribosomal RNA". It matches the Rfam family "Bacterial large subunit ribosomal RNA", at positions 1808 to 2563 of the family's 2925-position model. Lineage: Eukaryota; Metazoa; Arthropoda; Insecta; Coleoptera; Scarabaeidae. The record is from RNAcentral.